Molecule: ribosomal RNA, 405 nt
Filed under: Liostomia afzelii sp. A
Lineage: Eukaryota; Metazoa; Mollusca; Gastropoda; Pyramidellidae
Description: partial 16S ribosomal RNA
Source: RNAcentral
AUUUUAUAGAUUAUAUUAUUAAAUGAGCUCUGCCCAAUGAAAUCUUUUUAAUGGCCGCUAAUAUGUGCUAAGGUAGCAAAAUAAUUAGGCUUUUAAUUGAAGUCUCGUAUGAAGGAGUUUUAAUGGGGGAUGACUUUCAGAAAGUAUACUUUUAACUUAAAAUAUAGGUGAAAAUUCCUAUUUUAGAAAAAAAGACGAAAAGACCCUGGGAAUUGUAAUAGAUUUAUUUGUUGGGGCAACAGGAAAAUAAACAAGCUUUUAAAUUACAAUCUUAUUUAUAAAAAGGGAUAAUUACCCCAGGGAUAACAGCAUAAUACAUUAAUGUGGUUAUGACCUCGAUGUUGGACUAAGAUCUUUAUUAAUUAGAGAUUAAUAAACACUAGCUCUGUUCGAGCAUACAUUCUU